GCGCGGGCGGCCGGCGAGAUGCGCGCGGCGCGGCCCCGGGAGGCGGCCGCCCUGGGGCCGUCGGGAUGGAGGUGAGACGGCAGCCGUGACGCCCGCCCUCGAGCACCCCUGCACCGCAGCGGCCCGCAGCGCUCCCCGCCCCCCGCCCCCGCAGCAGCGGGCCUUGCCGUCGAGUGACAGCGGCCUGGGGGGGCAGGGGGGGCGGGGGCGGCCGGACCAGCGAUGCCGGCGGGCAUGACGAAGCAUGGCUCGCGCUCCACCAGCUCGCUGCCGCCCGAGCCCAUGGAGAUCGUGCGCAGCAAGGCGUGCUCACGCCGGGUGCGCCUCAACGUCGGGGGCCUGGCGCACGAGGUGCUGUGGCGCACUCUGGACCGCCUGCCCCGCACGCGGCUGGGCAAGCUCCGGGACUGCAACACGCACGACUCUCUGCUCCAGGUGUGCGACGACUACAGCCUUGAGGACAACGAGUACUUCUUCGACCGCCACCCGGGCGCCUUUACCUCCAUUCUCAAUUUCUACCGCACGGGCCGGCUGCACAUGAUGGAGGAGAUGUGCGCGCUGAGCUUCAGCCAGGAGCUGGACUACUGGGGCAUCGAUGAGAUCUACCUGGAGUCCUGCUGUCAGGCCCGCUACCACCAGAAGAAGGAGCAGAUGAACGAAGAGCUGAAGCGCGAGGCCGAGACUCUGCGGGAGCGGGAGGGCGAGGAGUUCGACAACACGUGCUGCGCAGAGAAGAGGAAGAAACUCUGGGACCUGCUGGAGAAACCCAACUCGUCGGUGGCCGCCAAGAUCCUGGCCAUCAUCUCCAUCAUGUUCAUUGUCCUUUCUACCAUCGCCCUGUCACUCAACACACUGCCUGAGCUGCAGAGCCUGGAUGAGUUUGGCCAGAGCACGGACAACCCACAGCUGGCGCAUGUGGAAGCAGUAUGCAUUGCGUGGUUCACCAUGGAGUACUUGCUGAGGUUCCUGUCCUCGCCCAAGAAAUGGAAGUUUUUUAAGGGCCCUCUCAAUGCCAUUGACUUACUGGCCAUCCUGCCCUACUACGUCACCAUCUUCCUCACAGAAUCCAACAAGAGUGUGCUGCAGUUCCAGAAUGUACGCCGUGUGGUCCAGAUCUUCCGAAUUAUGCGCAUCCUUCGCAUCCUGAAGCUGGCUCGCCAUUCCACUGGCCUGCAGUCCCUGGGUUUCACACUGCGCAGAAGCUACAACGAGCUGGGCUUGCUCAUCCUCUUUCUCGCCAUGGGCAUCAUGAUCUUCUCCAGCUUGGUCUUCUUUGCCGAGAAGGAUGAGGAUGACACCAAGUUCAAAAGCAUCCCUGCCUCUUUCUGGUGGGCCACCAUCACCAUGACAACUGUUGGGUAUGGAGACAUCUACCCUAAGACUCUCCUGGGGAAGAUUGUGGGGGGCCUCUGCUGCAUUGCUGGGGUCCUAGUGAUUGCUCUUCCCAUUCCCAUUAUCGUUAACAACUUCUCGGAGUUCUACAAGGAGCAGAAGCGGCAGGAGAAAGCCAUCAAGCGGAGAGAAGCUCUGGAAAGAGCCAAGAGAAAUGGCAGCAUCGUGUCUAUGAACAUGAAGGAUGCCUUCGCCCGGAGCAUUGAGAUGAUGGACAUCGUGGUAGAGAAAAAUGGAGAGAACAUGUCUAAGAAAGAUAAAGUGCAAGAUAACCACCUGUCUCCCAACAAGUGGAAAUGGACCAAGAGGGCACUAUCCGAGACCAGCUCAAGCAAGUCCUUUGAAACCAAGGAGCAGGGGUCCCCUGAGAAGGCCAGAUCAUCUUCCAGUCCUCAGCAUCUGAAUGUCCAGCAGUUGGAAGACAUGUACAAUAAGAUGGCCAAGACACAGUCCCAACCCAUCCUCAAUACCAAGGAGAUGGCACCACAGAGCAAGCCGACGGAAGAACUGGAGAUGGGAAGCAUGCCCAGCCCCGUGGCCCCUCUGCCCACACGCACAGAAGGCGUCAUCGACAUGCGAAGCAUGUCCAGCAUUGACAGCUUCAUCAGCUGUGCCACAGACUUCCCUGAAGCUACCCGAUUCUCCCACAGUCCUCUGGCAUCCCUCUCCAGCAAGGCUGGGGGCAGCACAGCUCCAGAGGUAGGCUGGCGGGGGGCUCUGGGUGCCAGUGGUGGGAGACUCAUUGAGGCCCACACCACUCCUGAAGCCAGCCGCUCUGGUUUCUUCGUUGAGAGCCCCAGGAGUUCCAUGAAGACCAACAACCCCAUGAAGCUCCGGGCACUCAAGGUCAACUUCAUGGAGGGUGAGCCCAGCCCGCUACUUCCCUCUCUGGGCAUGUACCACGAUCCUCUUAGGAACAGAGGAGGUGCAGCAGCUGCGGUUGCAGGACUGGAGUGCGCCUCACUUUUAGACAAGCCUGUGCUGAGCCCAGAGUCCUCUAUCUACACCACAGCAAGUGCCAGGACACCCCCUCGCUCCCCUGAGAAACACACAGCAAUAGCAUUCAACUUUGAGGCGGGCGUCCACCAGUACAUAGACACGGACACAGAUGAUGAAGGUCAGCCGCUCUACAGCGUGGACUCCAGUCCUCCCAAGAGUCUCCAUGGGAGCACUAGCCCCAAGUUCAGCAUUGGAACUAGAACGGAGAAGAACCAUUUUGAAAGCUCCCCCUUGCCCACCUCCCCUAAGUUCUUAAGGCCGAACUGUGUCUACUCCUCAGAAGGGUUGACUGGGAAAGGCCCCGGAGCUCAAGAGAAGUGUAAGCUGGAGAACCACACCUCUCCCGAUGUGCACCUGCUGCCUGGGGGAGGAGCGCAUGGGAGCACGCGGGAUCAGAGCAUCUGAGCUGCCCACGGCAGAGGGGAAUUUACAGGAGAAAUCAAGGAGCGGGGGGAUGCUCGGAUAACUGCUGCUGAGUUCUAUCUGACCUCGGAGACACAAGGCCCCUGCAGAGCCCCAACAACAGGAAAGACCCUGAGAGCCAUGACAGACCUGUGGACACGUAACCAGCCAAGCCACAGGGACCAUACCUCCUAGCAGCACCUUCCUGAGAUGAUGUAAGCGGAGCUCACAGCCACUAAGACCUAGCCUCGGCCACCCACUCCCCUUGAGGUUCUCCCAGGCCCAGCGUGCGCCAUCUCCAUCUCUUGUGGCUUCAGCUGGAGGAUGGCGUUGGAACCAGGGGCUGCCAGUGAAAGAAUGGGCUGACUGUACUGACUGUCGCCCAGCCACCUCCAAGAACACUGCCCUCUGUGGCAAGGGACAGGGGACACUUUGAUCCUGAGGGAUUCUCCGCUCCAUCAGCAGUGGUCCCAGCGCAUCACCCUUAAUGAAGCAAGGGGCUUGACUGAUUCAGUGUUCUGUGGUGCCCAGGGCUUUAUUCUGGGAUGCUGUAAGGGUUAGCUGACAAUUUGGACUCAAUUCUUUCUGUCCUCCUGGCAAUCAAGGAAGGGUUCAAGACAGUUGGGACACAGCCAGGGGAUAAACCAGACCACCACUUAUAGGGCUGUCACAGGAAUGAGCGUUCGAAACAGCACUAGCCUGAACUCAGAAGAUACGUGAGCGUCAAAUAUGCAAACAAGAUGUAUUAUUCAAAGAGACUGUGUGACUGAAGAACAGCAUUAAAAAAUAAUAAAUAUCAUUUUCUACAUGAAAAAAGGAAAAAAACAGCCCUCACUGAACUGCCCUGUGCAGGCUUCUGACUACUUUUUGUUGUGGGAGGACAUGGGAACAUAUCGACUAUGAGGGAAGUUCUUUUUUUUUUCCCUGUGGUAUUCAAGCUAAAAAAUAAUAAUAAGUUAAUAAAAAGCACUUUAUGUUUUUCUAAUCUAGGCUCUACCAGGGACAGUGUCAAGAUCUCACACUUUAAAACAAGCACUAUUUCCCAUGGGCCGUAUGGUGGCCCUGCACUUGGGGUGUUACUUGUGCCCAUUUCUGGCCACAGUGGGUCUCACUGUCACCACAUAAGAAUCUGGGGCUCCUCCAUAGCCCCUCAGGAUCACCCCUCAUCCCUCAUGGGUCAGGAGGGGUCCUUAGCCCUCGGGGCAGAGCUCUCUUAAAGUCCCGUGUGCAAGAGACACACAUAUCUCAGAAGGGCGCAGCAAGUGGGGGUCGGGAAUCAUACUGUUCUUUCUUGUCAACCAGCCAUUGUGUGUCCUGUGUCACUGUCCUGAAAGCCCGAUGCUCUUUCCUGCAGCCAUCUAGGCAGACGGCACAGCCAAAAGCAAUAAGUACCCAUGUGUGUUCCUACAGGUUCUGAUGUACUUCCUGGUGUCGGUCUUCCUGUCCUCACGUGUUGACCUGGCGUUGUCCUGCCUGCUUGUAACCCAGUGGCACAGUGUUGUUGGCCCUUCCUCAGUGACACCAGUCCGCACGAUGCUAUAGAUAAUGGCUUGUGUAUCAGUAGAGAUGGUGUUAUUGGUCAGCCUGUCUGUAGUACAAUGGGGCAAUGUGGUUUUCUUACUAUAGUGUUAGUGGAUAAUGUCCCAAAUGCUGUAGUGUCCUCCCUGUCCUCAGAACAGUGACAGGCAUGUGUCUUCCUGAUGGAGCAAUGACAUGAUAUUGAACACCUGUCCUCAGUAUAAUUUAUGGCUGGUCUGCCCAAUAGUUCAAUGGCAUGAUCCACCCAUCAGCACACUUACAUCACAAUCUUUCUGCCUCCUGUUUCCAUGGCUGAGGUCAGGCCACCUGUAGGUAGAAUGCUAAAGGGUUAUACACUAACCUUAAGCAAAGUGUUUUCUACAGUUCAUGACACUUCUCAGCAUUUCUGGGGACCAGGGUCCCCUCCCUCCAGAGGGUGCACCUUGGUAUUGGCUGUGAAUGAAGAAAACUGAGAAGUCAACUGUCUGACCAGCCUCAGAGCUUUCUCAAAACAGACACAGAGGGGCUGAGACAGUGGAGGUCACCCUGAACAGCAGCACCCUGGAGGCAGGAAGCAAGGGGGGGACUCCAGGGCCCCCGAUGAGCUCAGCCUGGUGCUGGGGGGCUGUUGAUGUGACUGUGGGACCGUUCUGCUGACCAUCUUUUGUGUCUCUUUGUUUCUUCAUCACCAUAGAUGUUACCCAGCAGCACAAACGUGAAACUUCAGGGAAAAAACAAACCAACGCUUUUUGAUAAAAAGUCAAUAGUUGUGAUUUCCGAUUCAGAUAUUUUUAGAGCUCUCUGUAAAAACUCCUACUGAUAAUAUAGUCUAUUUUACAUAUCAGGAAGUAAACAUGUCCUAACAUAGCCAUAUAUAGCCAGAAGGAAGUUACUGUCCCCUUCUUCAAAUCAAGGCAUUUCAUUUGUCGGUUAAGCCGAUGGCCAGUGUACAGAGUAGAAGUGAUUUCUUUCUUUUCUAAGAACCACUUGGUGCGACUCUCCUUGUAACCAAAGGCCCCUCUGCCUUGUGUCAUGUAGGACCUGGCUGCCCCUUCCUCCUGUGUUUUGUGUGACCGUAAAGUAGCAUUUUAUAGAGUAAAUGGAAGACGAAUUCAGAAUCCCCCUUCCUAACUGAAGAAACAGAGUCUGCAGAAUUCUACAGAAACAACCAUCAAAACUCAAUCCCUCCACCUGCUGACAAGGAACGCUGAGUUUCAUUCCACACAUACCUGUCCUGGGUUCCUGUGUUUACGUGCUCUGGGAAAGGUGGAGAAGAGUCACCAAGAUGAAGCAGUGUCUGAAAGAAGGGUCUCAGUAGUGAAGAGGGAAGCCAGGGUGUGGAGGCAGAGGCUACCUGAGCUUGGUGGUCCAUUUCCGCCUGUCCUAAACCAACCACAGCAAAAAGGAGUGAGGUUCCGUCAAUAACACCAAGGUUAUUGUCCAGUUAUGAAAUCAACAAGACCGUCAAGAACCCAGCAGAACUUGAGUUCCAGCAUCCAUCCCAUCAUCAGAAAAGCCAGGCAUAGGGCGGUUGUGUGUGCCCAUCACACUGGGAAAACCUGACCCAUGGGAGAGGUGAGGACAGGUCAGUCUUCUCACCUUUUUAUCAUUGGAUGUCCCCAAAACAGCAGGUCUGAGGCAGCAGACUUCUGUCUGGGAUUCCAUCUUAAGCACAUUUAGAGGAGAAAGGAAAAAGAAGAGAGAACAUUGGUCAUCAAAGAGAGAGGAAAUACCCAAAUCAUGAGGAAGCCAUCGUUAACCCCCUCUGCUCACCCUCAACGGUUGCUUUUUCCAAUGGAGUCCUUCUUGUCUACCUCCUCUGUGUUCCAGAACUGCAGCCUCGUCUUGGCCCCUUCUCCUGAGGAGAUCCAUGUUUCUAAGGAGAAGGAAAAAACAACAAGACGCAACAGCAUCCUCUUCUAUACAACUGUAAUGUAUUGUCGAUAUUUGUAAUUAUUAUAUAUUUGUCUGACUCUGGUCAUGGCUGGAAUGUCUAGUCCAUGAACAAGGGAAUAUUUAAAAUUCAUCACAGAUAAGGGUCCCUAAAGCCAGGUCUCUCUAUAUAGAGAGAUAGAUAUAGAUAUAUAAAUAUCUCUCCUUUCCUUAUUUCUCUGCCAACUUGUCUCAAGUAAAGUAACCACAGGCCACCCUGAAUCAAAAGAGGACGUACAGAAAAGCUUCUAGAAAAUGCUGCUUCAAAGAUGUACUUGGCAUGUGUGUAGCCGAGAAGUUGGCAGAAGAAAGAAGGGGCUCUCAGGUCUCCAGCAGGACAACAGAACACUCCAGCCCCAGGCAUUUCCUAACCUAGUUAUUGUUUGUAGAACAACACUCAAAUGUUUUCAUGUCACCAGGCCAGGGCCAUCUAAACCAGCCCUGGCCACACCUGGAAAUAAGAGUUACCUCUGCAUUUUCUGUUGCCAUUUCUUCUGGCUCUAGAAGCAUCUAUAUCCUAGGACAUCCACAUAUCUCAGAGUAGUCUAUUUUUUUGUUCACAUAAAUAUAUAUAUAUAUGUAUUUUUAGUAUAUUUAUAAUAGGACAACUUAGUCUAAUUUCUUUUGUAACAAUAAUAUCUCGGGGGUUUUACUGUUGCUCAUUUGCAUAGCUGGUCUUUUCUGCUCUUCAUCAUUCCUUCCCACUGUCCCUUGGGCUGUUUUUCUUUUUCUUUUCUUUUCUUCUGUUGGAUUUUGGUUGUCUGGAGGUGAGGAAAGACGGGGGUUUGACAUCUUGGAAGACUGUGUUCCUGGCCCCUCGGGGGCAGUGCAGUGAGGGGGGUGAGGAUUCUGUGUCUUUCCUCAUCAUGUCUGUGAUCAGGUCUGGCUAUCACUCUUAAGAAUCCAGGUGUGCAGAAACAAGCCAGGUGAAGCAGAGGUGUAGUUGGGACCUGGGCUGCCCGGAGCUUAGGCUUUACCCUCCCAGGAUCUUAAAGGACCGAGCUUUCUGGUUCCUAAAAAUACUGGAACCAAGACCCUCCUGCAAGCAAACUUGUCUCUGAUCGCUAAGCUCAGGAACAGUCCUGAGUUCCUCUUGGCCAGACUGUCCCCAUGUCCAGCAUCCUGCUUCCCAGGGCCAUCAACUGGAUCCAGGGACCAGAGCAUGUGCAGGCUCUGGCAAACUUCAGAGGAAUGUGCUGCAUCUCCGACCCCUUUCUCACAGUCUCACCAAAAACCAGUGGCCAGACAGCCUUUUAGCCAAAAGCUGAGGAGUCCAAGGCUGUGAUCUUCCUGCCCAGUCCUUCUCAGCUGCGCCAAGAGUGAAAUUUGGGGCAAGGGCAGCAGUAUUUUUCCAGCUUCCACUUUUCCAAGCCUCCAGUCCUUGAUCAGUCCUGAACAUUCAUCUGUGAGGCAAUUUUGAGUCUAGGGGCAGGUGAUGGACAGACAUGGAGUGAAAGGGGUUCUCCAUCAGUCACUUACACGGAACAGCAAAGAAAGCCAAUCAGAUUGCCUCUCAUGCUCAACUGGUCACCUGCCUGCCUCAGCUCUGGGCUCUGAGCUCCAUCAGCAUCUGAUAUUCAGGUGGAGCCAGGACCAUUUCCAUCUCAGACAGGGAUGAUGUCCCCCACCGAAAGACCCCCAAGAGGAUGCUAACCCAAAUGCAAAUUCAUUAUUCUGGUGGUUGGAUUUCCUUUUCUUCCCUUUGGUUUUGUUCUGUUUUGUGGUGUUGGGAAAUCUAGCUAGGGCCUUGGCUGUGUCAGACUAGUGCUUGACCCCUAAGCUACAUCUCCAGCCCCUGAAUGUGUUAUUUUGGAAUGUAAUCCUUAUCGGUUUCCCCAGCCCUAAAAUUCCUGGUAAUCUGGUUUGUUCCAAAUAAAACAGGCAAGAGUGUGUGUGUGUGUGUGUGUGUGUGUGUGUGUGUGUGUGUGUGUAACUUUUGCAUAGAACAAAAUUUAAAAGUGCUGUCCUGAUAUUUCCCAGGUUUCCUACCCAGAUAAGUAAACACUGGCUGUCUUCCCAAGAAAGAGGGGGUACGCUCUGACCCCUCUGCUUGCCUUAGAAUUCCUCUCAAAAUUUCCAAGUGGCAAUUUGAACUAAAUUUGGAAGGGGCUGUUAGUCAAGUGAGCCCUCUUCUUCACGUCUAGCCCUACCUCUUUCCCUGCCUCUUUCUCUCUCGGCCAAGAUCCUGAAGAACUCUAAAAGCUUGUAGGAGAGCAUGGGCAGGGAGCUGGCCCACAGACAUAGGCACCUAAUGUGAGUUGGUCAGUUCUGCUCAAAGCAAGUAAGCCCUUUCUCAUCAGUUAGGUGAUGUGCUCAUGGAAUGCCAUGCCUGGUGGGUAAGGAGCUCCAGACUACCUGCUGUAUUACAGGAAUUCACAGGGAGGCUGGAUAAUGCACAAAUGGGCCCUGGCAUUACUACAAAAUUAGACUGGAAACUCCAAGUAAUUCUUUGUGUGAGUGUGUGUGUGUGUGUGUGCGCGUGCGCGUGUGCGUGUGC
Molecule: RNA transcript, 8740 nt
Organism: Onychomys torridus (southern grasshopper mouse)
Lineage: Eukaryota; Metazoa; Chordata; Mammalia; Rodentia; Cricetidae
Gene: Kcnb1
Gene name: potassium voltage-gated channel subfamily B member 1
Exons: 4
Source: RefSeq, a predicted model, not a curated record